CCCUUAGAUGUCCGGGGCCGCAUGCGCGCUACACUGAAGGAAUCAACGUGGCUUUCUCCCUGACCCGAAAGGGUUGGGAAACCCGUUGAAUCUCCUUCGUGAUAGGGAUUGGGGCUUGAAAUUGUUCCCCAUGAACGAGGAAUUCCCAGUAAGCGCGAGUCAUAAGCUCGCGUUGAUUACGUCCCUGCCCUUUGUACACACCGCCCGUCGCUACUACCGAUUGAACGGUUUAGUGAGGGCCUCGGAUUGGUCUCGGCCCGCUCUUUACCGGGCGGCGCCGUUGGUCGAGAAGACGCUCGAACUUGAUCGUUUAGAGGAAGUAAAAGUCGUAACA
This 334-nucleotide ribosomal RNA is filed under the name uncultured eukaryote. RNAcentral's name for it is "partial 18S ribosomal RNA". It matches the Rfam family "Eukaryotic small subunit ribosomal RNA", at positions 1470 to 1796 of the family's 1831-position model. The record is from RNAcentral.